Long non-coding RNA from Raphanus sativus (radish), 460 nucleotides. RefSeq lists it as uncharacterized. The record is from RefSeq and is a predicted model, not a curated record. The transcript is spliced from 3 exons. Lineage: Eukaryota; Viridiplantae; Streptophyta; Magnoliopsida; Brassicales; Brassicaceae.
UACUAAAAUCAACACGCAUUUGCUUUAGAGUUCAGAUCUCCGAGCGAAAUCCGCCAAAAGAUGGUGAGAGAUACUGAAGAUAAUAUUGAAGACAAGAAGAAUCAUUAUUGCCCUCUUGACGAAGAUGAUAUAGCUCUCUUGAAGACUUAUGGUUUAGGGCCUUGCUCUGCACCGGAUAAGAAAGUAGGGAAAGAAAUCAAGGAGAUCGCCAAGAGGAUCAACGAUCGCUGUGGUAUCAAGGAGUCUGAUGUUGGAAGUAAACUUGAAGAAUGAGAUAACUUAGAGAGCAAGGGAUUAAUCCUAUUCGAGUUAUGUUUAGGAUAAAAGUGUUUUUCCCAUUGUGUUUAGGAUAAUUACAAGAUCUAUAUAUAUGGAUAUAUCGAGUUGUGAUAUGACAUAUGAGUUGUGAGAGAUCUUGUGUGAGAGCUUAAGUUUUGAGUAAUUUUCUUGAGCUAAUAAG